This 776-nucleotide ribosomal RNA is filed under the name uncultured Neocallimastigales. RNAcentral describes it as "partial large subunit ribosomal RNA". It matches the Rfam family "Eukaryotic large subunit ribosomal RNA", at positions 26 to 628 of the family's 3401-position model. Lineage: Eukaryota; Fungi; Neocallimastigomycota; Neocallimastigomycetes; Neocallimastigales. The record is from RNAcentral.
CGUCUAUAUACGUAUAGCAUAUCAAUAAGCGGAGGAAAAGAAACUAACUAGGAUUCCCUCAGUAACGGCGAGUGAAGCGGGAAGAGCUCAAAUUUGAAAUCUUCAAGGUUCUACCUUGACGAAUUGUAGUUUAAAGAAGUGUUUUCUGUUGGAGUUUUGGUAAAAGUUCUUUGGAAUAGGACAUCAUAGAGGGUGAGAAUCCCGUAUUUGACCAUUAUUUCCAACUUUGUGAUACACUUUCAAAGAGUCGGAUUGUUUGGGAAUGCAGUCCAAAAUGGGUGGUAAAUUUCAUCUAAAGCUAAAUACUGGCGAGAGACCGAUAGCGAACAAGUACCGUGAGGGAAAGAUGAAAAGAACUUUGAAAAGAGAGUUAAACAGUACGUGAAAUUGUCAAAAGGGAAGCGUUUGACACCAGUGUUGUUUUCUCGAAAAUCAAUUAAAAAGAUGUGGAUUUUGUGUUGUAUUGACUUUAUCAGCUUUCUGCACUCUUUUUCCUGUCUUUUUUAAUGCACUUUUCGUUUAACAAGUCAACAUCAAUUUCUUUUGUUGUAAAAGGGUCAUUGGAAGGUGGCUUUCUUUUCGGAGAAAGUGUUUAUAGCCUUUGACUUCUGCAAUCGGAGAGAUUGAGGUCUGCAGCGUAGAUCCUUCGGGGUUAGAUAGCAUUUGUGCUAAGCUAUAGCCUUUCAUAGACAACUUGUUGACUAUGAUCAGUCAUGUAGCUUACUCGCUUAUGUCAUUUUACCUACGCUUAGGAUGUUGACGAUCAGCUGAGCGCG